This 1916-nucleotide long non-coding RNA is filed under the name Bos indicus x Bos taurus (hybrid cattle). Its description in RNAcentral is "lncRNA (ENSBIXG00005001550.1)". The record is from RNAcentral. Lineage: Eukaryota; Metazoa; Chordata; Mammalia; Artiodactyla; Bovidae.
GACGCCCUGGUUUCACUGAUGAGACAGCUGGGGCACAGAGGAGCUGUCACCUGCCCAAGGGCGCACUCUGUGGGCGGCAGGCCCCCCACCACCUUGCCAAGCAUGCUGUGAAAGGGCCAGGGCCUCCUGGGACCCCAGCGUCCUCAGAGCUUCUCGCUAUGAAGUCCUGACUCCCAGCUCUGCCUGGUACCCAACCCGGCUGUCUCUGGAGCACAGGUGAGCACUUCCGGGUGCCCUGCCCAUCCUGGUGCCUCUAAGGAUGAAACAGUGGCGUCCAGGAGUGCCGACCACCAAGCUGUCGAUUUGUGGAUCAGGCAGGAUGCCUGCCUGCCUGCUGCCCACCCCCCACCCCCACCGUCUGAGCCCUAAAGCCGAGCAGAAGAUGAGAAAAGACUCGUGCAGGGGUGGCGUUCUUCGCCAUGGACCACGAAGGGUAGGAGGAGAAGGUGCAGGAGAAGGUGUGAUCUGCUCCAGAGCUCGGCCCUUAAAGACCUCGUCAGGGCUUGGAGUGCGGCGUUGGAAGAAAGACCGCUGGUCACCACGUGGUGCCUCGGCUGUUCCUGGGAGCCAGGCGUGGCCCAAGCAGCACUUACUGAGUAGCUGUCAGGCGUCAAGGGGAGGCCAGGCUCUGGACGCGUGGGCCUGGGACAGCCUGGGGCCCGGGACCCUCUGCUGCAGUGCGUGCACGUGGACACACGUCUGCUCCAGAAGCAAAACACAAAGGGACCGCCAGGGACUAACAACACCAGCAAGCGCACUCGCGUGGGCAGAUCGGGCAAAUCAUGGACGAGCUACAGAAAGACCAAAAAGCCCAUGGCCGCUUCUGAACCACCAGCAGCCGAAAGAGCAAAACAGCAGGUACAGUGCGCGUGGCGCCUGCAUUCAACACCACCUAAGGGGUGGGCAAGCCUCCUAACCACCCCUCUGGGCCGAACCCUGGACACACCCCUGCUCGCCCCAUGUACGGAACCAGCUCAACUCCCUCAGCGGGCGAGCAAGGGGAGCUGUUUGUUCUUGCCUCCCCCUGCUGCAGCAGGGGCCCCAUAAAGCCUUGCCUGAACUUCUUGUCUGGCCUCUGAUCAAUUUCUAUUGAUUGGGGAAGGCCAAGAACCCUGGUUGGUGUCAGACUCAAUCCUUAACAUCACCCUGUGAAUUAAUCUUCUUGUUCAUUUAUUUUACAGAUGCCCCCUGAGUCCCGGGCACUGUGCCAAGGGACAGGGGUCCUGCCCUCAUGGGGCACGAGGCCAACAGUAAGGAUACCACCAGCCACGAGGUCAGGCCCAGCCAAGGCCCUGUUUGGGUGUCGGUCAGAGCUGAGCAGAAGGCCACGCUUGAACAAAAUACAGGGACUGUCAGACCAGAGGUGGCCGAUGUCCAGCCCCACAGUGCUUUGGAACCAGCCCUGGAGGAGGGUGGGCACCCCACCUGGCCACUCACCAGGGUGGACCCCGGACCCUCUCGCCCGUCCCUAGUUCACAGGUGGGAGGGGACGCUGCCAGGGUCCCAGGGCUGUUGCAUGUGCUGUGUGAAAUCCAGGCCAAGAGGACCCCGUGCCAGGCACGCGAGUCGCCCACAGGUGUUGAACGGCACUGACCAAGCCCAGUGGCCCGGUGGCCAUCAAGGUGGCGUUUCCCUGGAGGCCUGACACGGGGCGGACCGUACCCCAGGACAAUCCCUCGAGGCCGCCAGGGUCUGAGUAACUCACCAGGGGCCGGGCUCUCUGCAGGGUCACUCCAGGGCUCUGGCUGGGUCAUGUCUGUGUCUUCACUGCAGUGACUGGAGAGACAAAAAAUGGAGCUGCUAACAUUUGCAGAAAUCGUUUCUAACAGUGUUAGAUGUUGCUAAUUAAAAUGGCUCAUGCUGCUCCAAACUGAGGCAAAUCAAUCAUUUGUUAGCAAAUCAAAGGCCGUUCUUUC